RNAcentral lists this non-coding RNA (134 nucleotides) under Bacillus pumilus. Its description in RNAcentral is "SAM-I sequence". It matches the Rfam family "SAM riboswitch aptamer (S box leader)". From Rfam's summary of the family: The SAM riboswitch is found upstream of a number of genes which code for proteins involved in methionine or cysteine biosynthesis in Gram-positive bacteria. The record is from RNAcentral. Lineage: Bacteria; Bacillati; Bacillota; Bacilli; Caryophanales; Bacillaceae.
CUCUUAUCCCGAGUUGGUGGAGGGACAGGCCCGAUGAAGCCCAGCAACCGGUUUCUUAUGAAAAGGCAUGAAUAUGCUGAGAAACCAAGGUGCUAACCUGAUGCAAGGUACAAGAACACCUUGAGCGAUAAGAG